Molecule: long non-coding RNA, 330 nt
Organism: Oreochromis aureus
Lineage: Eukaryota; Metazoa; Chordata; Actinopteri; Cichliformes; Cichlidae
Exons: 3
Source: RefSeq, a predicted model, not a curated record
CUAAUUUCAAAGUCUGACGGCAACAGAGGUGCAGCUUAACAUUGACACGGUGUGGAAGAGCAAGGCUAACUUCAGUCUUCUCAAGCAGUUAAUCAACAAACAAACUUCAACAAAAGGAAGGUCCUGGAAAUCCUCUCUGGCAAAGUGACAAUGUUUCUACAAAGAAUACCUACUGCGGCGAGUGUAUAAAGAGGAAGCGGCUUUAUAAACCUGGGAUGUAGCAUUCAACUCAACAUUGUUUUCAUCUCGCCUCAAACGAUGUGGACUGAAAAUAAACUCCGGGAUCCAGAUAAGUGAUGGAUGGAUGGAUAAAACCCACAGCAAUGUUGA